AGUGAACGCUGGCGGUAGGCCUAACACAUGCAAGUCGAACGGCAGCACAGUAAGAGCUUGCUCUUACGGGUGGCGAGUGGCGGACGGGUGAGGAAUACAUCGGAAUCUACUUUUUCGUGGGGGAUAACGUAGGGAAACUUACGCUAAUACCGCAUACGACCUACGGGUGAAAGCAGGGGAUCUUCGGACCUUGCGCGAUUGAAUGAGCCGAUGUCGGAUUAGCUAGUUGGCGGGGUAAAGGCCCACCAAGGCGACGAUCCGUAGCUGGUCUGAGAGGAUGAUCAGCCACACUGGAACUGAGACACGGUCCAGGCUCCUACGGGAGGCAGCAGUGGGGAAUAUUGGACAAUGGGCGCAAGCCUGAUCCAGCCAUACCGCGUGGGUGAAGAAGGCCUUCGGGUUGUAAAGCCCUUUUGUUGGGAAAGAAAAGCAGCAGGUUAAUACCCCGCUGUCCUGACGGUACCCAAAGAAUAAGCACCGGCUAACUUCGUG
Molecule: ribosomal RNA, 492 nt
Filed under: uncultured bacterium
Lineage: Bacteria
Description: partial 16S ribosomal RNA
Rfam family: Bacterial small subunit ribosomal RNA
Source: RNAcentral